GAUGAACGCUAGCUACAGGCUUAACACAUGCAAGUCGAGGGGAAACGACAUCGAAAGCUUGCUUUUGAUGGGCGUCGACCGGCGCACGGGUGAGUAACGCGUAUCCAACCUGCCCACCACUUGGGGAUAACCUUGCGAAAGUAAGACUAAUACCCAAUGAUAUCUCUAGAAGACAUCUGAAAGAGAUUAAAGAUUUAUCGGUGAUGGAUGGGGAUGCGUCUGAUUAGCUUGUUGGCGGGGUAACGGCCCACCAAGGCUACGAUCAGUAGGGGUUCUGAGAGGAAGGUCCCCCACAUUGGAACUGAGACACGGUCCAAACUCCUACGGGAGGCAGCAGUGAGGAAUAUUGGUCAAUGGACGAGAGUCUGAACCAGCCAAGUAGCGUGCAGGAUGACGGCCCUAUGGGUUGUAAACUGCUUUUAUAAGGGAAUAAAGUGAGUCUCGUGAGACUUUUUGCAUGUACCUUAUGAAUAAGGACCGGCUAAUUCCGUGCCAGCAGCCG
Molecule: ribosomal RNA, 502 nt
Filed under: uncultured bacterium
Lineage: Bacteria
Description: bacterial SSU rRNA
Rfam family: Bacterial small subunit ribosomal RNA
Source: RNAcentral